RNAcentral lists this long non-coding RNA (783 nucleotides) under Anser brachyrhynchus (Pink-footed goose). RNAcentral's name for it is "lncRNA (ENSABRG00000012565.1)". Lineage: Eukaryota; Metazoa; Chordata; Aves; Anseriformes; Anatidae. The record is from RNAcentral.
AUUUGAAAUAGCAUAUACAGCUUGGUUUUUUAAAUCUCAGCUUUCAUUUUGGAGUGGCAGGAGUUGCUGGGUUACAGGAGUUGCAAUGCUGGACUAGCCCAUGAGCAGUUUAGCUCAGAAUCUUGCUGGAAUAGGUUGGCAGCAGGUCAUGUCUGCAGGAACAGGAGCUAGGCGGGGCUGGGGAGUAAUGGUGGUAGGGCUUCUGCCUCCUGCAAGACUCAUAAUGGCUUUCAGCAGCUUGAGACCGGUCUGCUAGGAGGUGUAAUGAUGGAAAAAAAGGAAAUGUGCUCCAAAACCCCGCUGCAGAUGGAAAGCCAAAGGGAAGGACAACCUCAUCCAUGGACCCCCAUCUUUUGCAGGGUAAAGCUGGCUUUGUUCCAUCCUGGUUGUCUGGCUUUCAAACCUCCUACACACCACAUCUCCACUUCCACUAAUGUUAAGUCUGCUCAAAACUGAGCCAAACCUUUCUACUUGGAUUAUGGACAAGACUUCAGCGGGACCCAUAAUCGUGUCUUUAUGCAAGUGGUAUCGCCUCUGUUUGAUCUCUGUUUUGAAGAUAUAACAGCCUUGACACUGGACAGCAAGUGUGAGAUAAGGACCAAAAUGGAGAGGGGAGUGAGGUGAUAAGAAAUUGUAAAAGUGCAGUCGUAGAAGUCCAUGUGAGACUCGUGCUAGUUCACCAAGAACAUGUGGCUUCCCCACACCUCACUAGUAUUUUGGUCAGAGCUAGUUUUUUUACAAGUGGAGAGAAAGAGAUGAAGACCUUGUUAUUAAAAAUGUUGC